RNAcentral lists this long non-coding RNA (3344 nucleotides) under Homo sapiens (human). RNAcentral describes it as "HSALNT0157342". The record is from RNAcentral. Lineage: Eukaryota; Metazoa; Chordata; Mammalia; Primates; Hominidae.
UUUCUGAAACUCGCUAUGUCUGAAAACCAGUCACUUGGAACAUUCUGCAGGGCAAUCUCCAGCCUCCACUCUUGAGGAAGGAGAGGCAGUUGUGGAAGCCACACAGCCCGUGCCACAGCUCAGGAGCCCUGUGGACCUGAGGCUCGGAGACAUCGGCCCUGGCCUUAGGACCUACUCACUUAGGAAUCUCACAUUCUGGAUUCUUAUUUUGAACUCUGUCUUCCCAUUGCUCUAGGAACCAUCAUAAUCAUUUUGAAAACCACCAAGAGGAGAGCUGCCAACCAUCAACACCUGCUCCCCAGCAGAGCUGAGGUUUCUCUGCAGCCGCCUCCCUUUCAAGAGCAAGCCCAUGAUGUUGUCCUCAUCCGGAAGAUCCCUGCCUAUCCUGCCUGAAAACAGCCCAUUGAGAGCAAAGGAUGUGAGAACUGCAUGUGAACAUUCCAUCACAGAUCCUUAUUUUCAAGAUGAGGAAGUGCAGGCCCAGAGGGGCCCAGGACUGGCCCAUUCCCUUCGGUUCUGCUCUGACUUCCCAGCCCCGCACGCCAGCCCUCAACGUGUUACUCCAGAAAUGGGAUUAGAGGAGCUCGUCUGGAUUUUCCCUGAAAUCCCUUCUCCCUUUCCCGCCUUCCUGAUCAUAAAGUUGCAGUGAGUCGUGUCAGAGGACCGAGGCCUUGUCUCCCCAGCCGGCGUCCCUGGGACAAGAAUGAGAUUGCCAAAUGCCACUCUGAGCAUGGUUCAUGCAUCUGCCCGUUUCAUUCUCCCAGCUGCUCUGUGAGCGACUGCUUUUGGUAUCAUCUCAUUUAGGAAUGAGAAGAAACCAGGGCACGGGUACUUGGCACUCAAGGGCUUAGGUCCCACAGCUGGUAAGCAGAUGCAGGAGACUGGCUCUGGAGACUAAGCUCACCACCUUCUCCAGGGCUGUGGAUGGCAGCCGUGUGACCUGUCCCCUGCCCAGGAGACCACUGAAGAGCACACAGAUCAGGAGCCAGGAGGCCUCAGCCCUCACCUCAGCUCUUCACGCCCAUCGGCUACGAGACCCUCAGUAAGACCACGGGUGCCUCGACCCGGCUGGUGCACAAGGAGCACAGCCAUCAACGCCUCCCGACAGCGCUCACAGGUACACAUCCAGAUGGCCAGUUUCUGCCUUAACUGAUGACAUUCCACCACAAAAGAAGUGAAAAUGGCCUGUUCCUGCCUUAACUGAUGAUGACAUUACCUUAUGAACGUCCUUCUCCUGGCUCAUCCUGGCUCAAAAGCUCCCCUGCUGAGCACCUUGUGACUCCCACCCCUGCCUGCCAGAGAACAACCCCCCUUCUUCCUUUACCUACCCAAAUCUUAUAAAACAGCCCCACCCCUACCUCCCUUCGCUGACUCUCUUUUUGGACUCAGCCCGCCUGCAACCAGGUGAAAUAAACAGCCAUGUUGCUCCCACAAAGCCUGUUUGGUGGUCCUUUCACACGAACGUGCAUGAAAUUUGGUGCCGUGACUCAGAUCAGGGGACCUCCCUUAGGAGAUCAAUCCCCUGUCCUCCUGCUCUUUGCUCUGUGAGAAAGAUCCACCUACAACCUCGGGUCCUCAGACCGACCAGCCCAAGGAACAUCUCACCAAUUUUAAAUCCAGUAAGUGGCCUCUUUUUUACUCUCUUCUCCAACCUCCCUCACUAUCCCUCAACCUCUUUCUCCUUUCAAUCUUGGCGCCACCCUUCAAUCUCUCCCUUCUCUUAAUUUCAAUUCCUUUCAUUUCUUGUAGAGACAAAGGAGACACAUUUUAUCCAUUGACCCAAAACUCCGGCGCUGGUCACGGACUUGGGAAGGCAGCCUUCCCUUGGUGUUUAAUCAUUUAUGGGGACGCCUCUCUGAUUAUUCAUCCAUGUUCCACUGAUGUCUGAUCUCCGUGGGGAAGCCUGCCUUGGUCAUUCACCCACGUUCCCUUGGUGGCAGGUCAAUUGUGGGGACGCCUGCCUUGGCUGCUCCCCACAACCAAUUCUCCAUGCCUCUACCCUUCCCUUUAAACUUGCCUCCUUCACUAUGGGCAACUUUCCACCCUCCAUUCCUCCUUCUUCUCCCUUAGCCUAUGUUCUCAGGAACUUAAAACCUCUUCAACUCUCGCCUGACCUAAAAUCUAAGCGUCUUAUUUUCUUCUGCAACACCACUUGGCCCCAGUACAAACUUGACAAUGGCUCUAAAUGACCAGAAAACGGCACUUUCGAUUUCUCCAUCCUACAAGAUCUAAAUAAUUCUUGUCGUAAAAUAGGCAAACGGUCUGAAGUGCCUGACGUCCAGGCUUUCUUUCAUACAUCCCUAGUCUGUUCCCAAUGCAACUCAUCCCAAAUCUUCCUUCUUUCCCUCCCCUCAGUCCCAAUCCCAAGCGUUGCUGAGUCUUUCCUCUUUCCAAUCUUCCUUUUCUACAGACCCAUCUGACCCCUCCGCUCCUCCCCAGGCUGCUCCUCGCCAGACCGAGCUAGGUCCCAAUUCUUCAUCAGCCUCCGCUCCUCUACCCAAUAAUCCUUUUAUCACCUCCCCUCCUCACACCUGGUCUGACUUACAGUUUCGUUCCGUGACUAGCUCUCCCCCACCUGCCCAGCAAUUUCCUCUUAAAAAGGUGGCUGGAGCUAAAGGCAUAGUCAGGGUUAAUGCUCCUUUUCUUUACCCGACCUCUCCCAAAUCAGUUAGCGUUUAGGCUCUUUUUCAUCAAAUAUAAAAAUCCAGCCCAGUUCAUGGCUCGUUCGGCAGCAACCCUGAGAUGCUUUACAGCCCUAGACCCUGAAAGGUCAAAAGGUCAUCUUAUUCUCAAUAUACAUUUUAUUACCCAAUCCGCUCCCGACAUUAAAUAAAACUCCAAAAAUUAAAUUCCGGCCCUCAAACCCCACAGCAGGACUUAAUUGUACACCUCGCCUUCAAGGUGUACAAUAAUAAAGUAGAGGCAGCCAAGUAGCAAUGUAUUUCUGAGUUGCAAUUCCUUGCAUCCACUGUGAGACAAACCCCCGCCAUAUCUCCAGCACGCAAGAACUGGAACGCCUGAACCGCAGCUGCCAGGGUUUCCUCCAGGCCCGUUUACCCGAGAAGCUUGCUACAAGUGCCAGAAAUCUGGCCACCGGGCCAAGGAAUGCCCGCAACCCAGGAUUCCUCCUAAGCCGUGUCCCAUCUGUGCAGGACCCCACUGAAAAUCAGACUGUUCAACUCACCUGGCUGCCACUCCCAGAGCCCCUGGAACUCUGGCCCAAGGCUCUCUGACUCCUUCCCAAAUCUUCUCGGCUUAGCGCUUGAAGACUGACGCUGCCCGAUCACCUCAGAAGCCUCCUGGACCAUCACGGAUGCUGAGCUUCGGGUAACUCACAGUGGAAG